GACCUAAUAGUGUUGUCUUAACAUGGUUUUCACAAUACCGACCAUUCAAACGUUCCCUCGGUUCCCAAGCAUAAUUUGGAAACCACAGAACUUUCCCUGUCCUUGUGAUCUCGAUUUUAGCCCUGACAAUCAUGGUUCUCGUCGGGUAUCCACGCAUUCUCUUUUUAAAUACUGUGCGAAACGCUGCUAGGUAAAAAGGGGCUAAAUGGAUGACCAGCAAGUGAUAGGUGCGACAGAUCUCUAAAAGUUCUUACAGGCUCUGUUGGGCCUUGAUCUAUCUUCCCCUUUCAAGUUGAACAUAUAAGGGC
Molecule: small RNA, 308 nt
Filed under: Histoplasma ohiense
Lineage: Eukaryota; Fungi; Ascomycota; Eurotiomycetes; Onygenales; Ajellomycetaceae
Description: hypothetical lncRNA
Source: RNAcentral